UUCUUUCCUCCUUCUAUGUCUCACGCCAACCAUCCCUCCCUCUAGAAUUCUAUUUCCUUUAAUUUUCACCUAUAAUAAUAAUAAAGCCCUACCCCGUUUUAAGUAUUUUAACCCUUGAUCACUGAUGCCCUGUCCGACUGACGUAGGGCCCCGUAACGUAUGUCAAGGCUCUGCCUAAAUUCGUUGGGGUUCUGUCUCGUGACGUAGGGAUAAAGUAGAAUUGGGUCACUAUACUUAAUGUGAGUGCACUAUAUAUUUUAUUAAAUAAUCCAGGAGUUGUACCCAAAAUAUAGCAACCCUCCCGAAUAUUUUCCUGACACCCUACACUUCCUAAAAUACACCCCGUAUGUGAAAACCGAGCCCGAAAUACAACAUAGCAUUAACAGUAAAUGAAAAACAAGAAAUAGUAAGUUGAGGCGGGCCGCGUAGACCCACCCCAACCGUUCACGCGGGCCGUAUGAAGGUGUAACCGGAUCCCUUUGAUUUCUUAAGUCCAGGCGGGCCGCGUAAGGCCACACCGUUAGUUUACGCGGGCCGCGAGUGUCCCUAUUGGUGGCGCAGCCCGGUGAUGACACGUGUCAUCAUCGUGGCGGGUCUAGAGGGUGAGCCGGACAAGCUAGUCCAUUGACCAGGGUUGACGCGGGCCGCGUAACCCCUGUCCUUUCUUUACGCGGGCCGCGUGGGAACCAAUUUCAGCAACUAUAUAAGCAGGCCAUCGGAUUUCAUUCGAAUUCGUUCAAACGUUCUUUCUCAAAUCUCAAUUUCUAAAUAGUGGGCAUUAUACUCGGGUAUUAUACCCCCCCUAAUUAGCGAAGCUCUGCCUCGUUAUAAGUAUCAUAACCCCUGGAUACGUAUUAGAUACUCUGCCCGAUUGAUCUAGGGUUCCGUAACGGCUGUCGUGGUUCUGCCCGACGUAGUCGUUGGAAUGCCGUCUCGGGGAGAACUAUAACCAGGGAAUCACAAAGGAAAGCCCUAUGAUAGCAUUGUGAGUUGAUCAUUCUUUUUAUGAACUCAUUUUUGUGAGUUGAUUCGCUUUUUGUAAACCUUUUGUUUACUGUUUUUACAAAACCUCACUUAAUUAAAUAUAUAUAAAGCAGUUUUUGAGUAUUUGUAAAGAAUACAAUUAUAGUGGGUAUGUUGGGGUUUUGUAUACAAAAUUGGUUACUGGCGUGGUAACAUCCCAUAAGUUGAGUAUGACCGUACCACUGAUGUUAAUUGUGAUGUCUUGGAUACAAAUGUAAUUGCGGAUGUGCCCUCAAUACUGCAAAUUGGUUUUAUUUAAACCUGAUUAAACUAGGAUUCACUCACCAGUAUUUCCUGCUGAUAAAAUGUUUUAAACACGUGUUUCAGGUAACUUAGUAUGAAGCCAAUAAAAGCCAGCUGGAGAGCACUGAAGGCUUGGAAAAGUGGCAAUAAAGUUACCUAAAAUAAAACAGAUGUUUUUAAAUAAAAAUAGGAUUUAUUCCUAUGAAAGUGUGUAUACUGAAAACUUGGGUUUUACCCAUGUGUUUAAUAUUAUGAAAAUAUGGUGGUUU
This 1535-nucleotide long non-coding RNA is filed under the name Helianthus annuus (common sunflower). RNAcentral describes it as "hypothetical non coding rna". The record is from RNAcentral. Lineage: Eukaryota; Viridiplantae; Streptophyta; Magnoliopsida; Asterales; Asteraceae.